Molecule: unclassified non-coding RNA, 373 nt
Filed under: soil metagenome
Description: partial contains 5.8S ribosomal RNA, internal transcribed spacer 2, and large subunit ribosomal RNA
Rfam family: 5.8S ribosomal RNA (bases 1-121)
Source: RNAcentral
GAUGAAGAACGCAGCGAAAUGCGAUAAGUAAUGCGAAUUGCAGAAUUCCAGUGAGUCAUCGAAUCUUUGAACGCACAUUGCGCCCUUUGGUAUUCCGAAGGGCAUGCCUGUUCGAGCGUCAUUAUCACCCCUCAAGCCCUCGGCUUGGUGUUGGACGGUUUGGUGGAGGCCCCCUCGGGGGCUCCUGCCCCUCCCAAAGACAAUGACGGCGGCCUCGUUGGACCCCCGGUACACUGAGUUCUUCACGGGACACGUAUCGGACACAUGGGUUUACGGGACACGGUUUGCCUCCCCUCAGGGAGAAUCUUUCUAAGGUUGACCUCGGAUCAGGUAGGGAUACCCGCUGAACUUAAGCAUAUCAAUAAGCGGAGGA